Passer montanus (Eurasian tree sparrow) is the source of this 1151-nucleotide long non-coding RNA. RefSeq lists it as uncharacterized. The transcript has 2 exons. NCBI's taxonomy places the organism in Eukaryota, Metazoa, Chordata, Aves, Passeriformes, Passeridae. The record is from RefSeq and is a predicted model, not a curated record.
GGAGCGGCCCCGGCCCGGCGCGGGAGCUGCGGCCGAGCCCGCACGGGGCAGCGCCCCCGAAGAACACGCUGCGAGCUGUGCCUGCAAGGGCCGGGAACCAAGACACGCGGGUGGGACCUGAAGAAAGGCAGCGCUUGGGAGAGGCUGGCUGGACAGCAGUGAACAGUCGCUCAGUCCAGCCGCCAGGAAUCGUGCAAAGGAAAUGCAGCUUGACCUUUUUAACCUGGUGCCAGAUGCUGUGCUAGGACAUGGACCGCCAACACUGGAUUAACCUUGCCUAUUAGCUAUGUUUCUGGGAGGAAGAGCAAGUACACGGUUCACAAAUAUACCAAAUAACAACCAAAUAUACCAAAUUUCAACCUGAUGGAUGCAAGAAUACCACUUUUUGAACAAAUAUUGAGCAGAAUAAACAGGUUUAUCCCCUUUGGCUCCACGUUUACCAUCACUGAAAUGAAAUUAAAAACUGUAACAAUGAAACAGCAUUUUCUCUGGUUUGUGUUUUUUUGUUCUUUUCUUUUAAACAAAGCAUUUAAGACAACUUUAAAAAGCAAUCUUACCUGAUUAGUGUUCUUCUGCCAUAGGCACAGGGACCAGAGAACCGACAAAGGAUUACAGAAAUAAAGCUAAUUCACUAGUGAUUAAUGUAUCCAGUGAAACUAUGCUGCAUUGAUAACACAAUACAGGCAAACCAUGUUGGAUACAUUGAAAUCACAAAGGAAAAAGGGACUAAAAAUGGUAGGAAUUGGUAGAAAACUGAUGUGAAAAAAAUAAAACUUAGAUCCUAUAAUACACACUGGGCUGUAAAACUAAUUUCUAAGGACUGUAUUAUCCAGGAGCUUUACAGUGUUAAACCUCAGUAGGAUCAGAUUUUAAACUAGGUUGUCAACUUUUAAAAAAAACUUACCUCAAAUUUCAUAUACUUUUAAAGAAAGUUUACAUACUGAAGUGGUUGAUACUUACAGGUUAUCUUAGAUGUUCCAAUAGAAAUUUCUUUAGUUGAACUCUUGCUUUUUCACCACUCUCAAAAACUUAGUUUAUGGUGAGAGUUCUCAAGAGUGUGAGUUUCUUUCUUUUAUAAAAAAUAUAUUCACAGAGGUGUAAAUACACACAAGUUUUGGUAUAUUAAAAUCCUUAAGUCCACUUCCUUAAAA